UGGGGACAUUAAAAAAAUGAAAUGAAAAAUAAAAGAAUUAAAACUGAAUUAAAAUCUGUUUGAAAGAAAAGAAAUAAAGUGAAAUAAAAGAACAAGAAAUAACACCUAAACUAAAAAAAUGCAAUACUGAAAUUAAAAUGAUUUAAACUAAUGAAUCUCUUAGUUAUAUACCUAUUCUAGAAAUCUAAUUGUAAAUGCAAAGACUAUAUCAUCACAGAACAACAACUGAAACCAAGAAAUAAAAAGCUAAGCUAUUAUCAACCAAUUAAAAAAAAAUCCUAACAUCAACUAUCUAUCAAAAUUCAACAUCUCACAGACCUAGAAAUUGUAUCUAAAAGUGAACAAAACUGCAAUAGAAAGCCUAGAACCAGUAUGAAC
RNAcentral lists this long non-coding RNA (378 nucleotides) under Vigna radiata. RNAcentral describes it as "long non-coding RNA (VRAD_LNC008108)". The record is from RNAcentral. Lineage: Eukaryota; Viridiplantae; Streptophyta; Magnoliopsida; Fabales; Fabaceae.